RNAcentral lists this long non-coding RNA (419 nucleotides) under Androctonus crassicauda. Lineage: Eukaryota; Metazoa; Arthropoda; Arachnida; Scorpiones; Buthidae. The record is from RNAcentral.
AUUUUAAGAACCAUUGAAGAUAUUUAAAAUCUGACAAUGGACUAUAUUCAUUUUAACUUCUUAGGCAUUUUUAGGAUCAUUUUUAUCAAUAGUGAAUCAGCAGUUUGGACUGUUCUCUCUGCUUACAUUUUAUCAUUUCAAAAUGCAAAUGAAAGAGCAACAGCACACCCCAGGAAAGUUUUUACCAUAAUAAUAAAGAUUUCAGAAAGACGAAUCAAACAAAAAAUAUUUGACCGAAAUUGAACUACUGCAAGCUGAGAAAUUUAGAUUUGAAAUUUUCAUUAAAGUUUACUAGGUGAGGAUCAAACAUAUUAUAGAUUGCUAUAAAUUUUAUUAUUAAAUAAAAUUUUAUGGAAUAAUGGUAAGUAUAAAUAUUCAUAAUGAAACAAUAUUUUUCAUGCUUCUUUAUUUUAUCAGAC